GCAUUCAACGAGCCUAGCCUUGGCCGAGAGGCCCGGGUAAUCUUUGAAACUGCAUCGUGAUGGGGAUAGAUUAUUGCAAUUAUUAAUCUUCAACGAGGAAUGCCUAGUAAGCGCAAUUCAUCAGAUUGCGUUGAUUACGUCCCUGCCCUUUGUACACACCGCCCGUCGCUCCUACCGAUUGGGUGUGCUGGUGAAGUGUUCGGAUUGGCAUCUGGGGGCGGUCUCCGCUUCCUGACGCCGAGAAGUUCAUUAAACCCUCCCACCUAGAGGAAGGAGAAGUCGUAACAAGGUUUCCGUAGGUGAACCUGCGGAAGGAUCAUUGAAUCGAUCGAAUCCACUCUGGUAACCAAACGUCCCCCCCUUGGUGGCAGGGCUUGCCUUGUCCCAUGGGCGCCGGUCCCCUGGCUGGGGCCUUCGGGCCGCAGUUAGGUCCGGCGGGUGUCCCUCCGAUGCUGGGGCUUUUGCCCCUCUUCGGUUGGUGAUGCUGGAAAUUUAUAUUCAACUCAACCCACCCCAAACCUCAAAUCAAUCUGAAGCUGUCUUGUGUCACGCCUCGGCGUAGCACUCUAACCAAAGACAACUCUCAACAACGGAUAUCUUGGCUCCCGUAUCGAUGAAGAACGCAGCGAAAUGCGAUACGUAGUGUGAAUUGCAGAAUUCCGUGAACCAUCGAAUCUUUGAACGCAAAUUGCGCCCAAGGCUUCGGCCGAGGGCAUGUCUGCCUCAGCGUCGGCUUACCCCCUCACCCUCCCAAUCCCUGUGAUUGGGCAGAGUGGAUCUGGCCCUCCCGGCUCCGUUCCAACUUGUUGGCACGCCCGGGUCGGCUGAAGUGUAGAGGCUUGAGCAUGGACCCCGUUUGUAGGGCAAUGGCUUGGUAGGUAGCCUUUGGUUACAUCGCCUGCCGUUGUCCGAGGGGACUUUGCUUGCGGCCCAGCAGGAAUUUGGUGCGUGCGGUUCUACCGUCGCCCAAAUGCUUCACACCUUCGACCUGAGCUCAGGCAAGAUAACCCG
This 1011-nucleotide ribosomal RNA is filed under the name Micractinium pusillum var. elegans. RNAcentral describes it as "eukaryotic LSU rRNA". The stretch from base 1 to 322 matches the Rfam family "Eukaryotic small subunit ribosomal RNA", at positions 1508 to 1831 of the family's 1831-position model. The record is from RNAcentral. Lineage: Eukaryota; Viridiplantae; Chlorophyta; Trebouxiophyceae; Chlorellales; Chlorellaceae.